Molecule: long non-coding RNA, 1185 nt
Filed under: Solanum tuberosum (potato)
Lineage: Eukaryota; Viridiplantae; Streptophyta; Magnoliopsida; Solanales; Solanaceae
Description: long non-coding RNA (STUB_LNC001210)
Source: RNAcentral
GAUUAUUAACGUCACAAUAAGAUUCGAGAGUGAUCAGGACUUGAUUAUCUAAAUCCUCAGCAUACUUAUAGCAAGGGCAACUAGUGCCAAGUAUGCUAUUAAAUGUGGGGCAACAUUCAUCAAUUGAAGUUGUGUUGAACAUGCAAGUCUUCACUUUUUCUUGGUCACUAGCCGGGCAACUCGGUUUUGGGGGUGGGCUCUGUAUUUAUAAAUGAAAGAAUCAUUUUACUAAUUUGAAGAAUAAUUUUAAUUAGAAUUUUAAAAAUGCAUAAUACAUAAAUAUGUCUUUUAACUUGGCUUCAAAUCACAUUUAUGCCCUUCAAUUUUCGGUGUGCACAAGUAGACACUUAAAUUUGUAUAAAGUGGAACAAAUAGACACACAUGUCCUACAUGACAUCCUACAUGUCAUUUUUUUUAUCCUACAUGGUGUCCUACGUAUAUUAUGCCAUGUAGGACUCAUGUGUCUACUUAUUCAACUUUACACAAGUUUAAGUGUUUACUUGUGCAUACUCAAAGUUGAAGGACAUAAACGUAAAAUGAGGUCAAAUUAAAGGGAACAUUUAUAUAUUAUGCCUUUUAAAAAAUAGAAAUAUUAAUUUUAUUAUUUCUUGAAUUCCAUCCUUACUAUUUAAAAAGAUAAUAAUUAUAUUAAAAUAAAUUUUUUAAUGAUAUAGAUAAAGAUGAAAACUUACCCUACAAGGGGUAACAACAUCACAAUAAGCUUCGAGAGUGAUCAAGACUUGAUUGUCCAAAUCCUCAGCAUACUUAUAACAAGGGCAACUAGUGCCAAGUAUGCUUUGGAAUGUCGGACAACAUUCAUCAAUUGAAGUUGUGUUGAACAUGCAUUUCUUCACCUUUGCUUUGUCACCUGGCGAACAAGUUGUUGCCGGGGCGGGAGGGGGAGGGGGAGGGCUUGGUGGUGGAGGUGGUGGUGAUCGUGGUGGUGGAGGUGGUGGACAUGGUCGUGGUUUUGGAGGAGGGCAUGGAUAUGGUCGUGGAAAGGGAAAUGGCCAUGGUAAAUAGCAUGGGAUUUCCCAUGGCCAUAAUUGUAACUUGUUCCCAUCCUCGACCACGUCCACGUCCACAACAACUUCUCUUGCCACGACCACUUGGUGGUGGCUGCAAAACAUAAUUGCAGCCACCACUAACAUCAUAAACAUCUUCAUAGUUGCCAUAUUGUGAGUG